CAUACCUACAAAAAUAAUUUUUUUAUUGAUACAUUUAAAUAAAACAUAUUAGCAGUAGAUUAAGCAUUUUUUUUUAGAUAUGAUUGUUCACAAAUUGAUUUAAAUAAAAACUAGUCGUUCAGAAAUGGAGGAAUAAUGAGACUGACAUAAAAUGAUAACAUAAAAUGAACUAUAAACUAUAUGAAGCCAACUUUUCACAAUCUACUUUUACUGAUCAAUAAUUCCUCUGCUCUUCUGUUUGCAUUUUGACAUGCAAAAUGCUUUCAUUGCAACAUACUGAAGCUGCAUUACAAUGAACUGAAACUAUCUUAAAUUUUCACAAGCAUUUAGCAAGUACAUUUCACGAUUCCUUUGCAGGAAUAUCUGUUGCAAAAUAUAAGCUGUAUUAUUCAGAUUCAAUUAUCUGAAAUGUAGCAAGCAAAUAGCGUUUAAUAAAACAAAAUAGAAAAGCAGGACAUUUCUUAGCUGUACGCAAUGUGUUGUGAUAUGUCUGUCUGUAAAUUUAUAAAGAUAAUACAGCUCUUUUAUAAUAAAAUUAUAACAUAAUUUAAGUACUAUCUAAUUCUAUAACUAAUGUACCUCUUGAUUAUGUUUCUUUGCUAGAAAUAAUUAUUAUACAAAUUUCUAAUUACAUAAUGUAAAUGAAAAAUAACUAUACAAUAUUUACAUUCUUUUGAAUAUGAAAUAUAAUAUUCUUAAAUCUAAUCUCUAUAGUUUGCUUAUUGCUGUUUACCAAAUGCUUCAUUUUUAGUGAACUAGAAUUUCCAAUAAUACACAUCAAUUUCAUGCCUGUCAUAAAUAAUUUACAAUUGUCAAAUUUAAGCUAUUAAUAAGAUUGUUAGUAACAAAGUGGUAGAUGAUUAUGGCACGGCUUCUAUACUAUGUAAGAUCGUAGCCAUUAGCCUUGCCGCUAAUUUCAUCCACUUUGCAAGCUUACGAGGGUAAUAUUACGUUAGAAUAACUUAACGGGUUCAGAGCGUUCAAGUGCUAUUAUCAAACACAAAUUCGGGACAAUUUCAUGCGCAAAUUAAGUUCUAAAGCACACACAGUCUCAGAAGUUUCGAUUAACGUAAAUGUUACAUUCACAAUUAAAAUCGGUAAAGCAUGGACGUUUGCUGGCAGAAUCAUGUUAACGACCAGGUGUCCUAAUCACACAAAACAUUUUAUUGCCAGAAAUGAUUAGACUCGUAAAUACAGCAGAAAUCCAGGAAAUGAAACAAAUCGACCGGAAAUCGAACAGAAUUGUCAAAACUAUAAGAGAUAAUACCAAAAGCCUUGACAUGAAAGAACGAUGGUUACGAACAGCACGAUUGAUCAUGCAAAGUGUUACUACACUUGAAAGGAACAUCCAAUGAUACUUUUGCGUUACCAUUUUUAUUAUUUCAAUUAAAGUCGCUUUUCCUGAAAAGCUUGUUUGAAUUGUAUCAUUUUUUAAAUACAUAUGCAAUAUUAUCAAGAUACACAAUAUAUACAAAUAUCUAAAUAUAUCUGAGUAAAUAAUAAUAAUAAACUAAUAAACGAGAUAUACAAAGAAAUAAAUGAUAAUGAUAACAAGUGACAUAUUUGCUAACGUUUCAUUUCUAUAAUUGGGUUUUUUUUGCUGUCCUGACGUUUUACUUCUUGCACUAGUUCUUUUUAUAUUAGAGUAUUGCAUACGAUUAACAAAAAACAUUUCAAGUGUAGCAGGCAGUAAUGUGCGAUGAUUGAUGUUUACCAUAUUCAGAUUUGGGAGCAAAGAUGAAGGCUCCUCGGCGUAGCUCUCUAGCCUGGCCCGGUCCCUUCGCUGUACCAACAAUGGUUAAUAACAAACCAUAAAGCAUUGUCUUUGAGAUACAUGCAGUGUCUAAUCACCAAUUUGGUAUU
Bombus pascuorum is the source of this 1863-nucleotide long non-coding RNA. RefSeq lists it as uncharacterized. Lineage: Eukaryota; Metazoa; Arthropoda; Insecta; Hymenoptera; Apidae. The transcript is spliced from 2 exons. The record is from RefSeq and is a predicted model, not a curated record.